UACAGAGGUCCCAAGCGUUGUUCGGAUUCAUUGGGCGUAAAGGGUGCGUAGGCGGUGCUGUAAGUGGGGCGUGAAAUCCCGGGGCUUAACCCCGGGACUGCAUUCCAUACUGCGGUGCUUGAGGACUGGAGAGGAGACUGGAAUUUACGGUGUAGCAGUGAAAUGCGUAGAGAUCGUAAGGAAGACCAGUGGCGAAGGCGGGUCUCUGGACAGUUCCUGACACUGAGGCACGAAGGCCAGGGGAGCAAACGGG
Molecule: ribosomal RNA, 253 nt
Filed under: uncultured bacterium
Lineage: Bacteria
Description: partial 16S ribosomal RNA
Rfam family: Bacterial small subunit ribosomal RNA
Source: RNAcentral